AUCUCACCACUAUUCCACGCAUUGUAGUUGUUGUCAUCUUUCCCAAUCAGAUGUUUAUCACGGAAGUGUCCAAUGAGUUACACAGUGCUCUUGUUUAGGGGAAGGUAAUCGGCAUACAGAGUGAAUCAGUGGGUGCAGACUGUGGAAGUGAGGGACAUCAGCACUUGGAAUUUGUGUGGUGGUGUAAAGGAGGGAGAUCAGAAGAAGCAUGGCGUAAGGAACACAGCUCAUAUAAGAUUAUGCCUUCAAGCACUGAAAAGAAAGGAUAACUAUCCUUUCCUGGUCGACCUACUGAAGCCUCCAUACAGAUGAAGCUCUGUUCACUUCAUUUCAAAGCUCAGAAAUGUCUUGUCGAAAGCUAAUUGCAAUGUUUGUCAUUCCUAAACAAACAAUGUUUCUGAUCACGGGUCACGACCAACCAGAAACUGCUUAGCAGUCUGCUGUCAGCAUGCUUGUGCAAGAAUUGAUCUCGAAUAGAUCAACGCACGUAAUUAAGUCCUCCAGGCUGCGCGCACCGCCACAACCAUCACCAUCACAGGCUUCUUCAUCGAGCCCAGGCACAACUGCCACCGCAGUUGUAACUCAGGGAGGUGUUGUCGUCUUACCGCCCGGCGGCUGCCACACUUGAACUCAGAGCUGUAAACAACAUCGAGAAACUGAGAUGGUUUCCAACUUUCCAUCUCUUGUGGAUGCCUGUGGGAGGGAUCCAGAUGCGGCACAGGGGUGCCAUGGGGCUCGUAUCGCAUUCGUCGCUGGAGUUCGUCAUGGCAGACGCAGAAGUGCGCCUGACUGAAAAUGGGGACCUUGGUGAAGGAUGCACCAGCAGCCUGUCGCCACCAACUCAAUGUUUAAAGGAAGAAAGAUAAAGAUUUCUUUGGGCUUGCUUUUUUCCCUUUUUCAUUAAGAGAUCUAUGGGGUGGCUAGCUUUCGACCGUGCCAUCCGAUAAUUUUUGGUAAAACACUAAAACUCCAUUCUCAUUUUUUUUUUGUACUAGCCUUGUGCUUAUGUAGGGUGAGGUGGUGGUGGACCACUACAUUUCCAAACAACACUCAUUUUCAAACAACACCAUUAGCUAUUAAGUAUUUUGCUCGCUGCGUCAUCUUUGAAGCACAUCACAUUGAUA
Panicum hallii is the source of this 1124-nucleotide long non-coding RNA. RefSeq lists it as uncharacterized. Lineage: Eukaryota; Viridiplantae; Streptophyta; Magnoliopsida; Poales; Poaceae. The record is from RefSeq and is a predicted model, not a curated record. The transcript is spliced from 5 exons.